This is a long non-coding RNA of Dreissena polymorpha, 2357 nucleotides long. RefSeq lists it as uncharacterized. The transcript is spliced from 2 exons. NCBI's taxonomy places the organism in Eukaryota, Metazoa, Mollusca, Bivalvia, Myida, Dreissenidae. The record is from RefSeq and is a predicted model, not a curated record.
ACUAGGUCGCAAAGACCCGUAUGUUAAAUACUGCAGUAGUGCAGUGACGUCACCUGUGUUUUACUCUAGUCCGCUAAUGAGGCUAUCAUACGGAAUGAUCCGCAUCGACUCUAUAAACACUUACAAUUAUAAUCUAAGUAGACGUACCAUACACCAGUAAAUAAAAACACUGCUAUUUAUCACGUUAAUAAUUGUGUGAUGUUUCUUCUCUGAUGAACAAUGAAUAGCAUUUAUUACACGUACUGUUCAGAAGGAUGCUGCCCCGAGGAAUACUGUGCCUUCAAGCUAAUCUGCUAUCCAAAAAAAAGGUGCACGUACGGAUGUCCUGAUGGCGAAUGUUUGCAAGAGCUGUGCAUGCCCAUGCGACCAUGCACACGUGACUCUGAGUGCGGUAUCGCGCACGUAUGCACGAGGAACUAUAACCUUGGUUACGACACGUGUCAGUACAACCUGGAAAUUGGCAAAACUGUGUGCGUGGACGCGAAAGGACGUUCUCUACGCAAACCAAUUAGUUGAUCGUACGCCAGCAGUAUGAUAUAUCCAGGGGAACAAGUUUUAUUAUCGAUCAUAAUCGUCUGUAUUAUUAAAUAAGUGCAUAAAAUACAUAAUUGGCGUUCGUCACCAGCAAGCUGAUUUUAUCUAGUAACAAAUGUAUGUUGCAUACAUGUGUCUGUAUCGUAGAAUAUUUGCUCUUGGCCAGAUAUUUUUUAUGUAAAUAUGAUAAAUUUACUGCCACGAUGAACGUCUACAUGAUAUGAAUGCAGUAAUUUAACGGGAACACCUGGCUUAAUAUAUAAGUAUUGUCCUCAAUCAGCAUUUGCAAACCCGCACAAACUAAUCCGGGAAAACACUGUUCGAUUAUAUGGAAUUAUUCUUUUAUAGGAAGUGUCUUUGAAUCGAAAAAUGGCGGACUGUGUCGUUGACGAUGAGCAUGUGUGGACUGUACAGGGUAAUCUGGGACGAUACUUCUGAAUAAGGAGAUCGAAAUGCUGCUCGUAUAUUUUACACGUUACGUCAUUUCUAAGAGAAAUUACAUAAUGUUGCAUCCCAGAGUGAGGAAUAAUAAAACAUCAGAGCUAUCACCAGGGGAGAACCCGUCAUCAAGGUGCUUAUUUUCUUUGUUUAAGGAUAUGUGACAAAAGAAAACAAAACAAUACAGGACAAUACAAAGACCGCACAGUACAAUACACGAAAAACAUUUACAACUGCGUCAUCGCUUUGGAACGGGCAAUGCAAUGCUUUUUGAUUGAACAGGUUAAAGCAAAGCUCAACGACAAACCAUGGUUUUGUAAUUGCGCGUUGGAGACACUUUCAUACGAUGGACUCAUAUUAUCAACUAAGUGUAUGCAAACAUUUAAAUUUGGCUGAAUGACAGCAAUUAUUAUUGACCAACAUUAUCGUGAUCAGUUUUGUAAGGGUUGUUUUAAAUCGUAAACUACUGUAGAUCUUUUCUCUUCUGCAUGAACAGUGUAUUGAAUGUUGGACAUUUGAAUUCAGAUGCAACCAAUAAGCUUGUAUAAGGAACAUGUGUAUUUAGAUAUUUUAUUGACUCUUAGAUUAAUGCCAUAAUAAAAACUUAACUCUAAAGUACAGAUAAGAAAAAUAUAAAAUAAUAAUUUAUGGUAAAAUCUUGUAAUCUUUGUUUGGUAAAUGAACUCUUUACCAUGUUCAUAAGAAUUAAACAGGUCAAUUUACUAGGUCAGGCAAAAAUGAGCUUCCAUCAAUAUGCAAGUUAAUAUAAGAAUGCAAUAUAAGAUAUCUAAUCUAGAUUGAAUAGAUUUUAAAUGCGCAAUGCUUGUUCAAUAUUGGUAACAUGGUCUGCCUAUUUGGAAACCGCAUAGGACCAUGUUUUAAUUCAUCUUGGACAGCACAGAUGUGACCCAUGUUAAUCCCGUUUGCAAUUUCGAUAUGAUUUAUAUCUUGGAUGUAUGGUUAGGACCCAUGUGGUUGCCCAUAUGGGUCCCAUUUGCAUUAUUUGCUUGGAACUAAUUGUGUGUUUAUUUUUUCUUGGACAUAUGCUUUAGAUCAAACUGAAUACGUCGUUUAAUUGAAAGUUACAGCACCCUUCGCCAUAUUGCUUCUCGGUAUGAUAACUGCAUUUAACUGUUGCAUGUAUACGUAUUGUUUAGUAAAUUUUGCCCUUUUAUAGACUUAUUAUGAAACAUCUUUAAAAUGAGUCUAGAUUAAUUCUUAAGAAUUAGUUUGCCCUAAAUUGUGCGGCUUAAAACCUGUCCAUAUGUACAUAACCAUGCCUAGCAUAAACUCUUAUUUUUACACAUAGUGGUGUGAUCGUUGUGUAUGUGUUAAGUGGGCAAUCAGCAUAUUAAGGAAUAGAAAUAAACGGACUUCCUGUGGUA